AUGCAGGAAGCGUUGAAAAGGAAACUGAAAGCAAGGAUGGAGUAUGCAAAGUUUCUGCUAGAUCCUGCAAAAGAAUUGGCAAAGGAAGUCAAAGCAUUAUGCAGUGGAGAAACUAAACAGACCGCUGAAGAUCUGGACGAAUUUUUAAACAAGGAUGUCACCAAUGUUGGAGAUGAAGGUGGUUUUGCUCCUAACAUUCAGGAGAACAAGGAGGGCCUUGAACUCUUGAAGACUGCAAUUGAAAAGGCUGGAUACACCGGCAAAGUUGUCAUUGGAAUGGAUGUUGCUGCUUCAGAGUUCUACAAUGACAAGGACAAAACCUAUGACCUCAACUUCAAGGAAGAGAUAUCUGGAGAUAGCCUGAAGAAUGUAUACAAGUCAUUUGUGAGUGAGUACCCCAUUGGCUUGAUUAAGGAUCCAGUUGAACAAGAUGACUGGAUGCACUAUGCUAAGAUGACUGAGGAGGAGAGUCUUGAUUAUGACUUUCUAGUCAAUAACCAAAUGGAUCAUGUGCUCAAAGCAUCCAGCCAAGCUAAACCGGAAAUGACACCAUACAAAAGGAAAGUGUUCCAAAAUGGCCGAACUUUCUCUUCAAUUGGACCGGAACCGGAGCCGGAAGUUCCGGUUGUUAAACAAUUGAUGUAA
This 645-nucleotide ribosomal RNA is filed under the name Triticum aestivum (bread wheat). RNAcentral describes it as "partial small subunit ribosomal RNA". Lineage: Eukaryota; Viridiplantae; Streptophyta; Magnoliopsida; Poales; Poaceae. The record is from RNAcentral.